This 206-nucleotide long non-coding RNA is filed under the name Mytilus galloprovincialis (Mediterranean mussel). Lineage: Eukaryota; Metazoa; Mollusca; Bivalvia; Mytilida; Mytilidae. The record is from RNAcentral.
GCCCUUGUUAACACAUUUACACAAUGAAACCUUCCAGACAGACAUGUACACCUAACAAAUUAUUCCGUACACCAAAUAAAGUGUUUCUAUUGCAUAUAGUAUCUAAGAAAUAGAACAAACCACAUAAAACAAUCUUGAUCGCUAUUCCAUAAAAUUAGAUCACUUUCCGAUGCUCACCUGUAGAACUUUCAAUGAUCGAAUAUAAC